ACCUGGCUGGCUCAGUUGGAGAGCAUGUGACCUCUUGAUCUCAGAGUUGUGAGUUCAAGCCCCAUGUUGGGUG
RNAcentral lists this transfer RNA (73 nucleotides) under Mustela putorius furo (domestic ferret). It matches the Rfam family "tRNA". Rfam says of the family: Transfer RNA (tRNA) molecules are approximately 80 nucleotides in length. Their secondary structure includes four short double-helical elements and three loops (D, anti-codon, and T loops). The record is from Rfam by way of RNAcentral. Lineage: Eukaryota; Metazoa; Chordata; Mammalia; Carnivora; Mustelidae.